UCCUAAGUCCUAACCCUAAUUCCUAUGAUACUUUCUUGAAGAACAUGAGUAAAUCGAUGUAUGUGAAAUUUGAGAAAUAUUGGGGAGAAAUUGAGAUCCUUAUGUCUAUUGUGUCAAUUUUAGAUCUCCAUUUUAAGAUGUUCUCAGUUGAGUGGACUUUUGAGAAGUUGCUUCUAGAGGAUGAAUGUAAGAUCAUGGUUCAAGACGUGAAAACAAGCUGCAAGAGACGAAGAAAAAUUGGAAAUCGAUGUGUUGACUCAAGACGGGUAUGAUAAUUGAAAUGAAAGGUUAUAUAUGUUGAUUUGAAGUGGAAUUUUGUGGAUGGAGAUGAUCAGGCUUUAAGAAGAUGUUUAUGGCUUUUGAACUAAAUGACAAUUUGUAUUUUGCACUUUAUUUUGUGAUUCAG
Helianthus annuus (common sunflower) is the source of this 406-nucleotide long non-coding RNA. RefSeq lists it as uncharacterized. NCBI's taxonomy places the organism in Eukaryota, Viridiplantae, Streptophyta, Magnoliopsida, Asterales, Asteraceae. The record is from RefSeq and is a predicted model, not a curated record. The transcript is spliced from 3 exons.